UUACUUUAAUGAACAAAAAUACAAUAGACAAAUUCAUCAUUAUUUGCUGAUGCUAAUAUAUAAUACCAAAAAAUUGUUGAUAGUAUUUAGUCAAAAGCAGUGUUUUAAAAAGCGCCCUAAGGCGCGCCUAGGCUCAAGGCGCCCACUUGGGGCUUAUUUGUGAGGAAGCGCAGCGAAUUCUAAAAGGCCCAGAUUAGGCGGAGGCGCGCCUAGGCGCAAGUCGAAUUAGGUGUGGGCUUUUUUAAUAAGUUAUGGGCUGGGCUUUAAUUAUAAAAAACUAUUAUUAUCUAGGUUUUUUAAACCUAUUACGUGAACGUGAAGAAAGAACCCUUCUCCUUCCGCGCGCGAAGUUUCUUCAACACGACUCUUCAUCUACUUCUUCGGUUCUUCCGUUCUGCUUCUACUUCAAAAACUUUUUGCUUCCUUUUCCACCCUUCCGUUCCGGCCACCCUUCGUCACACAAAACGUCAACAAAUCUAUUUGGGGCUGCGGCUGCCAUUACUCUGUUUUUUGGUGCAAAAACAGAGGAAAAGAGAAGACAAUAAUAUUCUGUGCUAGUGCUUCAGCUUUCGCCUCCUCCAUCUCAACUUUAUCACGGGUGAUUAUCUCAAUCGUUCAGUUAACAUCUGCAGCUUUCUCCUUCUUCUGUAACUCUUUGACAAGAACAUCAAACUCCAUCAGCAUCCCACUUUCUUUCACCAUAGCUUCUUCAAUUCUCAUUUGAAGCUCAGAAAUUCUCUUCCUGUUCUCUUCCUUUUCCUGUUUGAAACAGAAUGUACUCUGUUUCAAAGAAUUAUUAGUUUUUAUCCUUUUAUUUUCAUUUAACAUAUUGAUUGCUCAGAACGGUGAAAAGAACAAAUAUGGAUGAAUGAACUUGAAAUGUUUCCCAUCUCUUGCAUCUUUUGGCUCUAUGUCAUUUUGUGUUUUCAUAGCAUGGUAUACCCAUUGAGUGACUAUUGGUUUUGUCUCUUGACUUAUUUAUUGUGUGCAAGUUUUGGACAUCUUCUUCUUCUUAUACUUCUCGACUUCAACUUCCUUCGAUAACCCAUCAAACACAGCCUUCAUCCCAUCGGUCUCACAACACACUCCCCUCCAAUCCUCCAUUUAUAACAACUUCAUCCCAUCCAUAGAUAGCUUCUGUUUUUUUUUUUUUUUGAAUAACUUAGAUCAUAGAUGGCUGAUAAAAGUUCAAGAAAAAAUCCGGCAUGGAAAUAUGGUCAAUUGCAAAAUGACCAAGAUAUAAAUACGUUUGUCUGUGGAUUUUGUUCGAAAGUAACAAAAGGAGGGGUAUAUAGAAUGAAACAACACCUCGUUGGUGGUUAUAGAAAUGUCACCGCCUGUACAAAAUGUCCGGAUCACGUGAAGGAAGAAAUUAAAGAGUGCAUGUCCAAGAAAAAAGAGAUUAAAGAACAAAGAAAUCUGAUUGUGGACAUUGAUGUAGAAGAUUACGGUAUUGAGGAUGAAGAUGAAGGGAGUGUUAGUAUAAACAACAAAGCAACACCAAGGGGCCCGAGCUUGAAGAAGCCAAGGCAAAAGGGUCCAAUGGAUGCAUUUUUUACUCCUAACCCAGAAACUGUGGUUCAAAAUAGAAAGGACAAAGGAAAACAAACUUCAUUGAAUGCGACAUACAAGAAGGAAAUGAGAGAGCACACCAUCCAAAGAAUUGCUCGAUGGUUGUAUGAUGCAGGAGUGCCUCUGAAUGCUUGCACAUAUGAGAGUUUUGCCCCUAUGAUUGAGUCAAUUAGGCAAUUCGGUCCUGGAUUGAAACCACCAUCUUAUCAUGAGUUAAGAGUUCCAUGUUUGAAGAAGGAAUUAGAAGCGACAAAUGAGUUUACCGUAAGGUAGAGUGGGCCAAGGUUGGAUGCACUGUUAUGGCUGAUGGAUGGACCGAUAGAAGAAAUAGGACAUUAAUUAACUUUUUAGUUAACAGUCCUAAAGGCACCAUGUUUAUUGAGUCCAUCGAUGCUUCAUCUUAUGUGAAAGAUGGAAAGAAGAUGUUCGAGUUAUUUGAUAAUUUUGUAGACCGAAUUGGAGAAGCGAAUGUUGUACAAGUAGUUACCGAUAGUGCCUCAGCAAAUGUGAUGGCAGGGAGAUUGUUAGAAGCAAAGCGACCACAGUUAAUAUGGUCUCCGUGUACCGCUCAUUGCUUAGAUUUGAUGUUGGAGGAUAUAUACAAGAUCUCGAAUAUUCGCAAAGCAUUGAAAAGAGGCAUGGAGAUUAGCAAUUUCAUAUACGUUCGUCCUGGAUUGUUAAACAUGAUGUGACGUUUUACUAACCAAAAGGAGUUAGUUAGACCAGCUAAGACUCGUUUUGCUACUGCCUGCAUUACAUUAUCGAGUAUACAUCGUCAAAAGAAUAAUAUGAGGAAGAUGUUUACUUCAGAUGAAUGGAAGGAUAGCAAAUGGAGUAAGGAGCAACAAGGGAAACGAGUAGUUCAGACUAUUUUGUUGGCUAGUUUUUGGACUACAAUUGUUUUCACUCUUAAAGUAUCUGGCCCACUAGUCCGAGUUCUUAGAUUGGUUGAUGGCGAGAAGAAGCCACCUAUGGGAUAUAUUUAUGAGGCCAUGGAUAGAGCUAAGGAAGCUAUUGCUAAAUCCUUUAAUAAUAAUGAAGAAAAAUACAAGGACAUUUUCACCAUAAUUGAUAAAAGAUGGGAGCUUCAGUUGCAUCGUCCUCUGCAUGCAGCGGGGUAUUAUUUAAACCUGUC
Molecule: RNA transcript, 2707 nt
Organism: Cucumis sativus (cucumber)
Lineage: Eukaryota; Viridiplantae; Streptophyta; Magnoliopsida; Cucurbitales; Cucurbitaceae
Exons: 2
Source: RefSeq, a predicted model, not a curated record